Molecule: long non-coding RNA, 527 nt
Organism: Triticum dicoccoides
Lineage: Eukaryota; Viridiplantae; Streptophyta; Magnoliopsida; Poales; Poaceae
Exons: 3
Source: RefSeq, a predicted model, not a curated record
AGGUCCGCGCCCUCCUCCCGCUGUCCAUCUACACGCUGCAGCAGGAGCAGCAGCAGGGCGCCGCACGAGAACCUCCCCCCGCCUCCGGCGAAGCUCCGGGCGGCUAUGAGGAAGCGCUGCGGCUAGGUCCUUACUGCAGAAGGACAUUGCCGAGGCCGACGAUGGCGCUGGCGCUCUGAGGCUGCGAAUGGAGAGCGAGAAUCCCGAGAUGACGAGUGCAGUGGUGGCUGAGCAGGUGGGUGAGUAUGUAGAUAUUGAGUAUGAGACCGCUGACUAACCAAUCAGUGGAGGCCGAGAAUGGUGCUGAGGAUACGAGUGUCUCUGGUGUUCUUCUUCAUGCUCAGUGAUACUGUCGCAGCGGCUGUUUCUUCUUUUCCUUUUUGAGAAACACCGUUUAUUCUUCAUCCAGCGGUUCAGGUUCAGGGUCAGGGAGCUCAGGGGACAGCGCCUCAGAAGUUGGCAAUGCUCGUUCUCUGGUGUAGAGGAGGUUAGUUCUAACAGUAGGAUUUUAGUAGGUGGAGGAUGCG